Molecule: small nuclear RNA, 125 nt
Organism: Corticium candelabrum
Lineage: Eukaryota; Metazoa; Porifera; Homoscleromorpha; Homosclerophorida; Plakinidae
Product: U4atac minor spliceosomal RNA
Exons: 1
Source: RefSeq, a predicted model, not a curated record
AACGUCCUUAUCAGAGGGAUGAGCGACUGCUCAAGGAUCGUCUAGUGAGAGUGGUCUGCUGACACCCAUGAUACAACAUACCAAGAGCUCCAGGCUUUGUUCCUGGUGUCUCAAUUUUUGGACCC